Non-coding RNA from Flavobacterium granuli, 68 nucleotides. Lineage: Bacteria; Pseudomonadati; Bacteroidota; Flavobacteriia; Flavobacteriales; Flavobacteriaceae. The record is from Rfam.
AAAAAUUGGAGUCCAGAAACCAACAAAAAAACGGGGCGUAUCUGAAAAGCCAUACGAGUAAGAAAUAA